Molecule: transfer RNA, 65 nt
Filed under: Geotrypetes seraphini (Gabon caecilian)
Lineage: Eukaryota; Metazoa; Chordata; Amphibia; Gymnophiona; Dermophiidae
Description: tRNA-Val
Source: RNAcentral
CAAAACGUAGUUUAUAAAAACACUUCGUUUACACCGGAAAAAUAUUUAUUAUUAAAUCGUUUUGA